AUUGAACGCUGGCGGCAGGCUUAACACAUUCAAGUCUAGCGAGCGGCGGACGGGUGAGUAAUGUCUGGGAAACUGCCUGAUGGAGGGGGAUAACUACUGGAAACGGUAGCUAAUACCGCAUACCAUCAGAUGUGCCCAGAGGGGAUUAGCUAGUGGGUGGGGUAAUGGCUCACCUAGGCGACGAUCCCUAGCUGGUCUGAGAGGAUGACAAGAAAAACGGGAACUGAGACACGGUCCAGAAUGCUACGGGAGGCAGAAGUGGGGAAUAUUGCAAAAGGGGCGAAAGCCUGAUGCAGACAUGCCGAGGGGGUGAAGAAGGCGGUCGGGUUGGAAAGGACUUUCAGCGAGGAGGCGUUACUCGCAGAAGAAGCACCGGCUAACUCCGUGCCAGCCGCCGCGGUAAUUC
RNAcentral lists this ribosomal RNA (406 nucleotides) under uncultured bacterium. RNAcentral describes it as "partial 16S ribosomal RNA". It matches the Rfam family "Bacterial small subunit ribosomal RNA", at positions 29 to 526 of the family's 1533-position model. The record is from RNAcentral.